Molecule: long non-coding RNA, 1015 nt
Organism: Prunus persica (peach)
Lineage: Eukaryota; Viridiplantae; Streptophyta; Magnoliopsida; Rosales; Rosaceae
Exons: 4
Source: RefSeq, a predicted model, not a curated record
ACACUCACUCUCGCUUUCUCAACCCUCUCUUUCUCACAACUCUUGAUCUGCCUCUUCUCUCUUCCUCUGGACUUUCAUCAAAGAAUUUACCAGUUCAAAUGGCAAGAAAAAAAAGCUAAGAAAACUGUAAAACAAGUUGCUGUGUCACUAGAGACCAAUUCUUUGAAAGGCAAGGCGUUUAUGUGAGGCGCUUAGUCACGUUAUGCGAGGUGUAAGCCUUGAAGCAGUGAGAUGCUUCUUGCCUUUCAUGGAGGAUAUGAAUGUCUCCAAUAACUACUUCUAUGUUCCAAAGGUCUCGUCAACCAAACAACUAACACUCUCCCGGUGGUUGUUUGAACCAACAAAUAACACUAGAGGCUUGUCAUACAUAUUGGUUUUGUAUGUGUUGUCUAAUAUGAGGACGUCUUCAAAGGCAACAUAAUCCAAAAGUGAAGUAGAGUAUCUCCAAAACAAGCGAGUCGAACUUCAGUGUUGCCGUCUAAUAAUAUUUCCCUACGUGAUGCAUCCAACUUCUUCCUUAAGGAUCCAAGUCCUCAGCUCAUGUAUUGAUGGAGGCUUAAAUCCUACACCAUAUGUGGCAAUCCCUUCCACCAUAGGUAGCCAAAAUGGAUCAUUUACAAUAUUAAAUGGGAGUGCUCUAGAAAAGAAAAAACGACCAAUCUUUCAACAAACUUUCUUUCUUUUUCUUGUUUGUAUGCUGAAUUUAAUGUACUUUGCCGAGUUUCUAAAGUGAUAAAUCUAUCCAUUGGUCCUUUUGAUUUAGGUUGUGCUCUAAGAGCCCCAUCAACUGCAACAUUUCUAGUACUGGGGAUUCCGUAUUCUUUAUCCAAUGAAGUUUCCAUACUUUGACCUCUCCUCGUGGACCAUCCUCAAUUUCUCUAAGCAUUUCAUUUUUCUUUCAUUUUUUCAAGUUGAAAAUUUUUCAAAGUUGCGGCACACUCUUGGUUUACAUGCUCAGGAACUUUCUUACAUGGUUGCAUACCAUGAUGAGUUUGACCCAAAUGAUGCUUAAGUC